UACGUAGGGGCCGAGCGUUGUCCGGAUUUAUUGGGCGUAAAGCGCGCGCAGGCGGCCUCGCGCGCCCGACGUGAAAGCCCCCGGCUUAACCGGGGAGAGUCGUUGGGGACGGCGGGGCUUGAGGGCGGGAGAGGUCGGUGGAAUUCCCGGUGUAGUGGUGAAAUGCGUAGAGAUCGGGAGGAACACCUGUGGCGAAGGCGGCCGACUGGGCCGACCCUGACGCUGAGGCGCGAAGGCGUGGGGAGCGAACGGG
This 253-nucleotide ribosomal RNA is filed under the name uncultured bacterium. Its description in RNAcentral is "partial 16S ribosomal RNA". It matches the Rfam family "Bacterial small subunit ribosomal RNA", at positions 524 to 776 of the family's 1533-position model. The record is from RNAcentral.